This 42-nucleotide non-coding RNA is filed under the name Gonyaulax spinifera. Lineage: Eukaryota; Dinophyceae; Gonyaulacales; Gonyaulacaceae. The record is from RNAcentral.
CAGGACUGGUCGAAGGAAGUCCUGACGUGCUGAGCGGCUCCA